The submitters of this non-coding RNA (86 nucleotides) gave its source as unclassified sequences. The record is from Rfam.
CCUCACGCGGGAAGCUCUGACGCGCGGCCCACACUCCUGGCCGCCGGGACCGCGCCGAGCCACUGGCGAGACCGACCCGCGCGGUG